GUCAUCGCACGCGGGAGCCCGGACGGACCGGGCUGAGAGGGAGGCUGGCGGCCUCCGACCGUACGAACCUGAUCCGGGUCGUUCCGGCGAAGGGAGGAGACGCGAAUGCCA
RNAcentral lists this non-coding RNA (111 nucleotides) under Streptomycetaceae bacterium MP113-05. Its description in RNAcentral is "TPP riboswitch aptamer (THI element)". It matches the Rfam family "TPP riboswitch aptamer (THI element)". From Rfam's summary of the family: Vitamin B(1) in its active form thiamin pyrophosphate (TPP) is an essential coenzyme that is synthesised by coupling of pyrimidine and thiazole moieties in bacteria. RNAcentral also lists the same sequence under 1 other name. Lineage: Bacteria; Bacillati; Actinomycetota; Actinomycetes; Kitasatosporales; Streptomycetaceae. The record is from Rfam by way of RNAcentral.